AUGCAGUCGAGCGGAACGAGUUAUCUGAACCUUCGGGGGACGAUAACGGCGUCGAGCGGCGGACGGGUGAGUAAUGCCUAGGAAAUUGCCCUGAUGUGGGGGAUAACCAUUGGAAACGAUGGCUAAUACCGCAUGAUGCCUACGGGCCAAAGAGGGGGACCUUCGGGCCUCUCGCGUCAGGAUAUGCCUAGGUGGGAUUAGCUAGUUGGUGAGGUAAGGGCUCACCAAGGCGACGAUCCCUAGCUGGUCUGAGAGGAUGAUCAGCCACACUGGAACUGAGACACGGUCCAGACUCCUACGGGAGGCAGCAGUGGGGAAUAUUGCACAAUGGGCGCAAGCCUGAUGCAGCCAUGCCGCGUGUAUGAAGAAGGCCUUCGGGUUGUAAAGUACUUUCAGUCGUGAGGAAGGCGGCGUCGUUAAUAGCGGCGUUGUUUGACGUUAGCGACAGAAGAAGCACCGGCUAACUCCGUGCCAGCAGCCGCGGUAAUACGGAGGGUGCGAGCGUUAAUCGGAAUUACUGGGCGUAAAGCGCAUGCAGGUGGUUUGUUAAGUCAGAUGUGAAAGCCCGGGGCUCAACCUCGGAAUAGCAUUUGAAACUGGCAGACUAGAGUACUGUAGAGGGGGGUAGAAUUUCAGGUGUAGCGGUGAAAUGCGUAGAGAUCUGAAGGAAUACCGGUGGCGAAGGCGGCCCCCUGGACAGAUACUGACACUCAGAUGCGAAAGCGUGGGGAGCAAACAGGAUUAGAUACCC
This 751-nucleotide ribosomal RNA is filed under the name Vibrio sp. RNAcentral's name for it is "bacterial SSU rRNA". It matches the Rfam family "Bacterial small subunit ribosomal RNA", at positions 55 to 787 of the family's 1533-position model. The record is from RNAcentral. Lineage: Bacteria; Pseudomonadati; Pseudomonadota; Gammaproteobacteria; Vibrionales; Vibrionaceae.